AAUUAAUGAACUUGUAUAAGUAUAUAUUUUGAAAAUAUAAAAAAGAGAUUUAAAUUCUCUAUUAAUUU
RNAcentral lists this transfer RNA (68 nucleotides) under Heteronitis castelnaui. RNAcentral describes it as "tRNA-Ser". Lineage: Eukaryota; Metazoa; Arthropoda; Insecta; Coleoptera; Scarabaeidae. The record is from RNAcentral.